RNAcentral lists this ribosomal RNA (204 nucleotides) under Lycoris aurea (golden spider-lily). The record is from RNAcentral. Lineage: Eukaryota; Viridiplantae; Streptophyta; Magnoliopsida; Asparagales; Amaryllidaceae.
GGUGCGAUCAUACCAACACUAAUGCACCGGAUCCCAUCAGAACUCCGCAGUUUAGCAUGCUUGGGCGAGAGUAGUACUAGGAUGGGUGACCUCCUGGGAAGUCCUCGUAUUGCACCCUUUUUAAUUUUUUUUGCCGCAUGGUGCUUCUACGUUUUGCGUACCUCAUCGCUACUCGUGCCAAUUUUAAUUCAGGCAGGAUGUGUC